GGGGAAUAUUGGACAAUGGGCGCAAGCCUGAUCCAGCAAUGCCGCGUGAGUGAUGAAGGCCUUAGGGUUGUAAAGCUCUUUCACCCGGGAAGAUAAUGACUGUACCGGGAGAAUAAGCCCCGGCUAACUCAGUGCGAGCAGCCGCGGUAAUACGGAGGGGGCUAGCGUUGUUCGGAAUUACUGGGCGUAAAGCGCACGUAGGCGGCUUUGUAAGUUAGAGGUGAAAGCCCGGGGCUCAACCCCGGAAUUGCCUUUAAGACUGCAUCGCUUGAAUUGUGGAGAGGUAAGUGGAAUCCCGAGUGUAGAGGUGAAAUUCGUAGAUAUUCGGAAGAACACCAGUGGCGAAGGCGACUUACUGGACACAUAUUGACGCUGAGGUGCGAAAGCGUGGGGAGCAAA
RNAcentral lists this ribosomal RNA (399 nucleotides) under uncultured bacterium. RNAcentral's name for it is "bacterial SSU rRNA". It matches the Rfam family "Bacterial small subunit ribosomal RNA", at positions 356 to 772 of the family's 1533-position model. The record is from RNAcentral.